Long non-coding RNA from Capsicum annuum, 2389 nucleotides. RefSeq lists it as uncharacterized. The record is from RefSeq and is a predicted model, not a curated record. NCBI's taxonomy places the organism in Eukaryota, Viridiplantae, Streptophyta, Magnoliopsida, Solanales, Solanaceae. The transcript has 3 exons.
GAAAAUGUGGCUUAAAGUGUUCCAACUUCUUUCCCACAGAUUUUCCACCAUUUUUUUCCUAGGUAAUUAUUUUUACUAAAAAUUAAAACUGUGCAGAUUUGGGUUCACCCACUUCCCUCCAUUAUUUUCCACCAUAUUUUUCAAAUACUUUUCACUAGAGUUUGGGUUCAAUUCUAAUUUCAUCAGUAAACCCUACAUUCUAAUUCGGUCACUAUUUGAACUACUGCUAGAAGAUUCGAGGUCACCUUGUUGGCCAUUGGGUUGGAUUUUGAUUACUUCUCCUUGCUGAUUGAGACUGUUCUUUUCAUAUUAAGGUGUCUGAUUUUUAUCACGUUUGGCGGACAAGGUGGUCCUGAAGCCGGAGCAGAGGCUGCAAUUGGGGACAAUAUUGGUGCCGGAGGAGAAGAAAUAGUUGGUGGCGGUGAAGCCGGAGCAGAAGGUUGAGUUUGUGGCAUUAGAGCCAUAGCAGGCGCUUGAGCAAAAGUGCAAGUGAAUUGGGGCAAGAAAAGAAAGGGUGAGACUAAGUUGAAGUACAUUUUUCUUUCUUUCUUUAGCUAAAUUUGAAUUAUGUUAGAUGGGAGGGAGAAGGAAAAUGUGUCCCAGUUAUAUAGUAAGUUGUGGGUUGAUUUCUUGCUCCAACAUAAUUAAUGAAAAAAGUUUGUGGGGUUAUUCUGAUGAUAGAAAUUAUUAGGUGAACAGGUGCAAUCUAAGGUGAGUUGAGAAUAACAUGUUAUUUACUGCUAUAUACAACUACUAGCUUGAUUAUGAAGGCAAAAAAGCUGGGGAGGUGAACUAAUUCCUUUGUAGAUACUAUUAUAUACAUCCGUAAAUAGAUUUGUAUGUAUAGCCACUUUAAUCAUGUUCGUCCUUUCUCCAAAAUUAUCUUUUUUUUUCUCGGAACAUGGUCAGCCAGAAAUUAUUAUAUUCACGAUUCUUCAUCCACCUAUGUAUAAAUGUUCUAGUUUUCCAUUCUCAUAUGAGUCCUGAAAGUGAAUUGGCCAUUUAGUUAUGUUAUGUGAUUUGAGGUGGGUAAAAUUGUUAGGUAAAAAUAUUUCAAAUUAUCUUUUUUGUUGUAUGCGUUUAGAGGCCUACCCUCUCUACUAAUCCAUAUUUGUCUUGCGUGGAUGAUAGAAACGCUUUCUUCCAAGAGUAAUUUUAUUUUUGAGAGCUCGAACUUGAGAUCUCUAGUUAAAGGUGUAAGAAUAUCAUUCAUCCCAUCAAAUUCGUUGGUGGUAUAUUUCAUGUUGUCUAUAUGCGAUCAUAAACUAAAUAUAGGACAGUUGUGAAUUUUGUGAGACAAGUGGCUAAUUUAGUUGUAAUGGCACUUGUUACAAUCAAGAAUAUCUUGGUACAACUGACGAUAAUGUAAUGUAUGAUAACAAGUGAUAAUCCAUAUAUUUGUUAUGUUAUCUGCUAUCUUUUUGCAGUGUUAAUGCAUGACAGUAUAUCACAACCAUUUUUAGCAGAUGAGCUUAAACUUUCAGGAGGAUUAAUAAUGAUAGUGAUGCUGAGAAAUUUCCUUUUAAUUUUCAUUUGGCACAAAAUUUUUUUAUUUGCAACUCUUGCUCUGAUGCAUCCAAUAUGUGUUAUAUGGACUUGUGUUCUAAAGCAAUUGCUUAAAAUGUGUUUAUGCACUUGUGGUUCACUAUGUUUCAUUUGCAAGAAGCAUCUUUUGGUAGACCAACCACUCGUGAAGAGAUACGUAAGAAAGACCAUAUGAAAAUUAGAGAUGAAAAGAAGUUUGGGUAGAAACACGGGCAUAAGAUACUUGCCAAUUGAAGAACUCAAAAGAAGUCGAUCGACAGAUGACCAAGGCAAUCCAAUCAUGCCAUCAGAGGAAGAAACUCUCUCCUGCUAGAUGGAUGUAGUUGGUGACAUGUGUAAGGAAAGGGCAUACCGUCUUUGUUUUGAGAAGAACUUUUACCGUCUUCAGUGUGGAUUGCAAGAUAUAGAGAGUUCUGCCACCAUGUCAGAUGAGUAGCUUGAGGAGAUGCGAUAGAAAGUUCAGGAGCAUUUUAGGAAGUACGAGAGGAAAGAAAAAGAAGGAUAGAGGAGAAGCGAUGUAGGACGACAUUUAAGUCAAACGUCAAAGAACUCAAGGCUCAAGUAAAUAUCUUAAUCAAGCUUCCUCGCUCUCCGCCCCUAGCUCUGAUGAUGAUGGUGGAGAGGAUGAGGAUGGAAUGGAGUAUUAGGUUAUGUUGUUGUUUUAGGUUUGAAUUAUGUUAGGUUGGAAUGUUUGAAAAAAAUUGUUUUAGUAAUUGUUUGUGUAAUUUUUUUAUACUUGUUUACAUAUGGUUUAAAUUGGAUGAAUAUAUAUAUAUAUAUAUAUAUAUAUAUAUAUAUAUGAAGUUUGAUUACUUAAUUUUAAUGUUUGAAUUAUUUCGGAAGA